This 73-nucleotide transfer RNA is filed under the name Ornithorhynchus anatinus (platypus). It matches the Rfam family "tRNA". From Rfam's summary of the family: Transfer RNA (tRNA) molecules are approximately 80 nucleotides in length. Their secondary structure includes four short double-helical elements and three loops (D, anti-codon, and T loops). The record is from Rfam by way of RNAcentral. Lineage: Eukaryota; Metazoa; Chordata; Mammalia; Monotremata; Ornithorhynchidae.
GGGCCAGUGGCGCAAUGGAUAACGUGUCUGACUACGGAUCAGAAGAUUCCAGGUUCGACUCUUGGCUGGCUGG